GUGGUGGCUUUCAUGCGCGUCCGUGUGAAGAGACCACCAAACAGGCUUUGUGUGAGCAAUAAAGCUGUUUAUUUCACCUGGGUGCAGGUGGGCUGAGUCCGAAAAGAGUCAGCGAAGGGAGAUAGGGGUGGGGCUGUUUUAUAGUAUUUGGGAAGGUAAUGGAAAAUUACAGUCAAAGGGCGGGCAGGAGUGGGGGGUCGCAAGGUGCUCAGUGGGGGUGCUUCUGAGCCAGGAGAAGGAAAUUUGCAGGGUUAAUCACUCAGUUAAGGUGGGGCAGGAACAAAUCACAAUGGUGGAAUGUCAUCAGUUAAGGCGGGGCAGGGCCUUUUCACUUCUUUUGUGAUUCUUCAGUUACUUCAGGCCAUCUGGGUGUAUAUGUGCAAGGCACAGGGGAUGCGAUGGCUUGGCUUGGGCUCAGAGGCCUGACAGUGGCACACGCCUGUAAUCCCAGCUACUUGGGAGCCUGAGGCAGGAGAAUCACUUGAACCCAGGAGGUGCAGGGUGCAGUGAGCCGAGAUCGCCCCACUGCACUCCAGCCUGGGCAACAGAGACUCCAUCUCAAAAAAACAAAAAAAAAAGCACAGGUCCCCUCCCUCAGUCCUGCAGACUUCCUCAAGCUGGGAAGGACCAAGGAUUUUGGGAAAUAACUCCACCGGCUUACAGACAGUGCACCCCAGGACAAAGAGUCAUGGUGUAAAUUUUAAUUAUCCUUUGUAGAGGCUUCAAAAAAAAAAAAAUCUAGAGUGCAGAGGUUCAGUCUGGUCCACACAGUUCUGAAUGCCUUUUAAUUAUCAUCACACACACCAGAGAAGGUCAUCUUAGAAUAUUUAAUCAGUUAGCACUAGAUGAAGGCUGGAGUAGGAGAGACUGGGAUAGUGGGGGGCAAUGUGGGGAUGGAGGCAGGGCGAGGGAGAUAAAGUCAAACUGGUUUUUUUUUUGUUUUUUUUUUUUUUUUUUUUUGGAGACAGAGCCUUACUCUGUCGCCCAGGCUGGAGUGCAAUGGUGUGAUCUCAGCUCACUGCAACCUCUGCCUCCUGGGUUUAAUCGAUUCUCCUGCCUCAGCCUCCCAAGUAGCUGGGAUUACAGGCACCCACCACCAUGCCCAGCUAAUUUAUUUGUAUUUUUUUAGUAGAGACAGGGUUUCACCAUGUUGGCCAGGCUGGUCUCGAACUCCUGACCUCAGGUGAUCCACCCGCCUCGGUCUCCCAAAGUGCUGGGAUUAUAGGGGUGAGCCACCGUGCCCAGCUAAGAUAUUUCAAUCUGUGAAUAACCCAUAUGGCCUGGUAACAGCAAGCACCUGGGAAUAUAUACAUAUAACCCACAUACGGACUGUCCCGUUCACUCCUCACAACCACUCUGCUAACAUACUACCAUCACCCCAUUUUAGAGAUGAGGAAACUGAGGCAGAGGUGCCUUGCCUAAGGUUUACAUAGUUCCAUUUGAGUGCCUACAUGGGAGUGCUUCAUUUGGUCCCCAAAGCUAGCCUGAGACAAGAACUUUCUUCUCCCCCCCCCGCAAGAGACAGGCUCUUCCCAUGUUGCCCAGGCUGCUCUCCAACUCCUGGCCUCAGGCGAUCCUCCCACCUCGGCCUCCUGAAGUGUUGGGAUGACAGCCAUGAGCCACUGUGCCUGCCCAGUUAUUAUUUUAUAAAUGUAGAAACCGAGGCACUGAGAGGUAAAGUAACUUGCACAGGAUCACAAAUCAUCACAGCCACGCACGACCUCCUUGGCUCAAGGGAUUCCUCCCACCUCAGCCUCUCACGUAGCUGGGACUACAGGUAUGCAUAACCUCGCUGGGCUCGUUACUUUGUUUUUUUUUUAGAGGCAGGAUUUCACCAUGUUGCCCAGGGUGGUCUCGUACUCCUGGAUUCAAGCAAUCCUCCUGCUUCGGCCUCCCAAAGUGUCAGGAUUACAGGCGUGAGCCACUGUGCCCAGUCUCAAACAAAAUUAAAAAUUCAGUUUCUCAGUCACACUAGCCACAUUUCAAGUGCUCAGAAACUUUAUGUGGGGCCAGGCAUGGUGGCUCAUGCCUGCAAUCCCAGCACUUUGGGAGGCCGAGGCGGGCGGAUCACGAGGUCAGGAGUUCGAGACCAGCCUAACCAACAUGGUGAAACCCUGUCUCUACUAAAAAAAUACAAAAAUUAGCCGGGCGUGGUGGUGUGCGCCUGUAAUCUCAGCUACUUGGGAGGUUGAGGCGGGAGCAUUGCUUGAACCCGGGAGGCGGAGGAUGUGGUGAGCCGACGUCGUGCCAUUGCACUCCAGCCUGGGCAAUAAGAGCGAAACUCCGUCUCAAAAAAAAAAAACAAAGGUUUAUGUGGCCACUGGCUACUGUACUGGACAGUACAGACCUAGAACAUGAACCAAACAUCACAGAAAGUUCCAGUGGAGAACACUGCUACAUAUCUGCCUGUUUUAGUUAGAAGCCAACAUUUUAUUUUUAUUUUAUUUUAUUUUUUGAGAUGGAGUUUCGCUGCUGUUGCCCAGGCUGGAGUGCAAUGGUGCGAUCUCGGCUCACCACAACCUCCGCCUCCCAGGUUCAAGCAAUUCUCCUGCCUCAGCCUCCUGAGUAGCUGGGAUCACAGGCAUGCUCCACCACGCCCAGCUAAUUUUGUAUUUUUAGUAGAGAUGGGGUUUCU
This 2635-nucleotide long non-coding RNA is filed under the name Homo sapiens (human). RNAcentral describes it as "HSALNT0259749". Lineage: Eukaryota; Metazoa; Chordata; Mammalia; Primates; Hominidae. The record is from RNAcentral.